AAUCAAAGCGCUGUAAGCGCUGAAGGCAGUUAACCAAAAACCAAGGCAACCAAUAUGAAAACUGUGGCAAUUUUGCCUCAACAUUAAACAUUCAUAUAUAGUACAUUCAUGUUUAUCUAAUGAUUUAAUUUAUUAAGGCAAAUAAUUUAUAUGUUAUCAAGGUUUCAAAAGCAAUGCAUAUAUCAAUGUAUAUUUGUAAUAGUAUGAAUAGACUGGUUUCCCUGGAAAGAAAACUGAGUUUGUGUUCUAUAGUACAAAAGUUAUGAGACACGAAUCAGACAAAUGUUCACUACAAC
Molecule: long non-coding RNA, 296 nt
Filed under: Mytilus galloprovincialis (Mediterranean mussel)
Lineage: Eukaryota; Metazoa; Mollusca; Bivalvia; Mytilida; Mytilidae
Source: RNAcentral